CAGCCCUUGAAGGCCACCAUCCUAAAACUCCUGGUGGUUUCCCCUUAGAGUCGCGCAAACGCCAGAAUUCUCCUUUAACUGCUUCCUGAAGGAUUGCUUUUGUUGUAAAAUCGAAUGCAGUUGAAAGUUGUCCCGCGCCAUCAAUCCAAUUGAUGAUUCUUUGCCUGUGACUAUCUUGGUUGUAAUCCAAAUUGCUGCCCUUGUAAUUGCAAGUGUCCCAGUAUUCUCCAACUGCAAAUAUUGGCUUAGCUCCCUCGAUAUAUUCCUUUACAUACUUCGAAGCAUAACCUUUGGCAAAAUCAAAACGAAAAUCUUGGAAGCCAACAGAGGAUCUUAGCCACCGCAUCCAGUCAAUGAGAUCUUUCCGGACAAAGGAUUGUGUAUGAUCUAUAUUUGGAAAUCCGUUAAAGUUGUCUCCAGUGCUUUUGUUACCCCUUCCACCAGUGCAAGAUGUAAUAGCAUGUUCAUCCCAAGACAUAGGAAUUCCAUCAUAGCGAUUGUAGAUUCCACCAUGCCCUUGGGUAGUCCCAACACGAUGGUUAAUGACUAUGUCUGCCAUCCCUCUAACUUUGUACUGCUUCAACUUAUCAAGUAAAG
This 597-nucleotide unclassified non-coding RNA is filed under the name Hevea brasiliensis (rubber tree). The record is from RNAcentral. Lineage: Eukaryota; Viridiplantae; Streptophyta; Magnoliopsida; Malpighiales; Euphorbiaceae.